This 474-nucleotide ribosomal RNA is filed under the name uncultured organism. RNAcentral describes it as "partial 16S ribosomal RNA". It matches the Rfam family "Bacterial small subunit ribosomal RNA", at positions 334 to 799 of the family's 1533-position model. The record is from RNAcentral.
CACUCCUGCGGGAGGCAGCAGUGGGGAAUUUUGGACAAUGGGGGCAACCCUGAUCCAGCAAUGCCGCGUGAGUGAAGAAGGCCUUCGGGUUGUAAAGCUCUUUUGUCAGGGAAGAAACGGUGGUGGCGAAUAACUACUACUAAUGACGGUACCUGAAGAAUAAGCACCGGCUAACUACGUGCCAGCAGCCGCGGUAAUACGUAGGGUGCAAGCGUUAAUCGGAAUUACUGGGCGUAAAGCGUGCGCAGGCGGUUGUGUAAGUCAGAUGUGAAAUCCCCGGGCUCAACCUGGGAAUUGCAUUUGAGACUGCACGGCUAGAGUGUGUCAGAGGGGGGUAGAAUUCCACGUGUAGCAGUGAAAUGCGUAGAUAUGUGGAGGAAUACCGAUGGCGAAGGCAGCCCCCUGGGAUAACACUGACGCUCAUGCACGAAAGCGUGGGGAGCAAACAGGAUUAGAUACCCGAGUAGUCCCAUG